AUGUGUGUGCGCCGGCGGCGGCGAGCGGCCUCCGAAGCCGGUGUAUGCGGGUUCGAAUCCCGCCGCCCAUG
This 71-nucleotide transfer RNA is filed under the name Thiemannella venezuelensis. Its description in RNAcentral is "Planomonospora venezuelensis tRNA". It matches the Rfam family "tRNA". Rfam says of the family: Transfer RNA (tRNA) molecules are approximately 80 nucleotides in length. The record is from Rfam by way of RNAcentral. Lineage: Bacteria; Bacillati; Actinomycetota; Actinomycetes; Streptosporangiales; Streptosporangiaceae.